AUUGAACGCUGGCGGAAUGCUUUACACAUGCAAGUCGAGCGGCAGCGCGGCCUUCGGGCUGGCGGCGAGCGGCGAACGGGUGAGUAAUGCAUCGGAACAUGCCCAGUCGUGGGGGAUAACACUUCGAAAGAAGUGCUAAUACCGCAUACGUCCUGAGGGGGAAAGCGGGGGAUCGCAAGACCUCGCGCGAUUGGAGUGGCCGAUGUCAGAUUAGCUAGUUGGUGGGGUAAAGGCCUACCAAGGCGGCGAUCUGUAGCUGGUCUGAGAGGAUGAUCAGCCACACUGGGACUGAGACCCGGCCCAGACUCCUACGGGAGGCAGCCGUGGGGAAUUUUGGACAAUGGGGGCAACCCUGAUCCAGCCAUUCCGCGUGAGUGAAGAAGGCCUUCGGGUUGUAAAGCUCUUUCGGCAGGAACGAAACGGUUGGCUCUAACAUAGUCCGCUAAUGACGGUACCUGAAGAAGAAGCACCGGCUAACUACGUG
Molecule: ribosomal RNA, 484 nt
Filed under: uncultured bacterium
Lineage: Bacteria
Description: partial 16S ribosomal RNA
Rfam family: Bacterial small subunit ribosomal RNA
Source: RNAcentral